CAAGCACAGGGCUGCAGGGUAGAACUUGUGAAAAGCAACAUGGUCUGCUGGUGUAGCUGCUGCAGGAGUGACAGCCCUUGUAUUCCAAGGAAGACCAGUGAUCACUGGGACUGGGAAGUUUUCACAGUAAUAUCCUAGAACAUUUGGAUAUUUGUACUGCUGCAACACAGAAAAUUCCCCAUUGAAAGGAAUCUUAAAAGUGCGUAAUUCUUUACUUCUGUAACUUUUCAAGGACAAUAUGGCCAUCUUUCAGCAACAUUUUUUUGAAGACUUGUUUCCAAUUAGGCUAGCAGCUGAGAUUUGGAAGUAGGAAUCUACCACAGGAGAGAGAAAACACUCUGCCUUAUGAGCAAAGAGGUAUGUUGGAAACCCACUGUCUUCCUGGGUCCAGUAUUCUCAGUGGCCAUUUCUUCUGCUAAGGAGUUUCCUGAAAUGUGCUAGUGGGCUUGUUUUCUUUUUUAUUUUCUUUAAAUUUGUUGAUUCUUUUUAGUCAUGCAUGACAGCAGAACUCAUUUUGAUAUAAUUAUACAAGCAUGGAGGAUACCUCUUAGGAUUCCAUUCUUAUGGAUGUACCUGAUGGUGGAUUCUCUGUGUUGUUUUCAUAUAUGUACAUGGGAAAAUUAUGCCAGAUUAAUUUCACUGUUGUUACUUUUUCCUAUCCCUGCUUCCUUCCUGCCUGUGUCACUCUGUCCCCCUGGACUGAGCCCUAUCAUCAAACCUCACACCUGGAUGCCUGACACAGCCCAUCACCUAUGCUUCUCACAGGGUGGCCCCAGCUGAGGGAGGAGGGCUGAAGGUGACUGUGCUCCAGUUUGUGUAGGAGAAACUGAGGCAAAAGGUGGGAAGGGAGGUGGGGGGGAGGGUGUGGGGUGGCAGGGCCCCUCUCUCCCCAUCUAUCUGCCAUGAACCCAAGAAUAGGAAGAGACAGGUGAGGUUGCCAGGAUGCUGAGGGCCCAUGGUGUGAGCCUACUCUGCCUAGGGUGCUGGACCACACCCCAGUGAGGCAGGGCCUGGCCUGAGGGAGGACACUUGACCAGUGGGGCAGGGCAGGGCUGUGGCUCCUCACAGACUCCAGAGCUCUGGCUUCCACUCUGCAGGGCUCUCCAUGCAUCACAGCACCUCUUUGGCCCAUGCCUAGCAGCAGAAAACCUAGUGGUGCCCUUUGUGACAUCAGAGGGCCACCCCUGAACAUCACAGGCAGGAUGUGUGCUAACAGAGGGGGGCUCAACCACCUGAGUCGAGGAAGAAGGGCUCUUUCCAGAGUGUACUCACCCACACAGAAGGGUCAAGCUCUCUCAUCAUGACUUUGAGCCCUCCAACCCAGUGGAACUAGCUUACCACCCUAACCUCCAGCAGGAUCUCAUGCUACAGUGUGAACAAUGAGCAGGGGUGCCGUGGACCAGGCUCUCACAUUCAAGGUCUGGCCACAUGGCUAGGGAACAGCAGCCACUAGCCAUGCUUCCCCCCUCCCCUAGACCCAGCCAGUUGCCUACUGGGAUUGAGGGAUACCCAGGGUCAGGUUUGGCUAACUCUGGCCUUAAAGGCCAAUUGUAAUCAUUUCAGAACUGACUUGCUUUUUUAAAUGACACGUUCACUUCCCAAUAGUUCUCAUACCUCCCACCCCCCUUUCCCUGCCAGCCCUCCGCUGCUCAGCUUUCAUUUCUCUCUGGGACCAAGGUUUUAGCUUUGCAUGCUGAGAUCUCCUCAUGGGCAUAAAUGCCAAUGCCAACCUUACUAGAAGAACCCACCAGAAAAUCUUUUCUUGGUUCCAAAGUGUCUGCCCCUGGUGACCAGGGCUCUUUCACUGCAUUUCUGAGACCAGAGAACAGUCAGGCUCUGGGGGAAUGGCCCAUGGGGAUAAGAGACCAGGAAUGGUUUAGUUACAGAAUCUCAGCCAGUUCCAAUGGCAGGUGCAGGGACAGCUGUAGCCAAGGGCAAGGGACAUGUCAAGCAGGACAUGCCAGGGCAAACUCGAUGUGUCUGUCAGUCUAUCCAUCUCUGGGCUGGUGGUUCCUGAAGCUUUGGCUGUAUUAAGGGACCCCAAGUGUGAAAGUGGAGGGGCCACAGGGCCCAGAACCCAGGCAGUAGUACUCAGAGUGGCCUUUGAAGUCAGAGCACUGGGGAUCAAACCUGACUCAACCAUGUGGCAAAUUACCAAAAGCAAAUGAGCCUCUGUUUUCUCAUCUCUUAAUUGGAGUAUUGAGGUCCCCUUCUGAAUAUCGGGGGAAACUAAUUAGAAUAAAUGAAGUAGAACCAGGAAAGCCCUAAAGGUGGCUGAAAAGACACAGGCAGUCUGCAUAGGGCAAGCUAUUGCUAAUGUUACGAUCAUUAACUUCUUGGUCAGUGUCCCACACUUUUCCUGGAAAGGGCCAGGGAGAAUAUAUCAGGCUUUGAGGGACACAAAAUCUGUCCCAUGACCACAUUCUGCUGUCCUUGAUGUGUGAACUCAUGGGGCAUACUCCCCUCAACCUGCUUUGGGGUGCAGAGCCCACCCCUAUCACAGAAGGGCAUGGGUGAGGGGUGGUUGUGAUCUGUAAUCAGAAGGCAGAUGCCUCCUGCCCUGCCAUACACACAAGUGGGAUGGAGCAAUUUGUACACCCUGCCCCUGGAGGACUUGGAAGGAAAACCCAAGUGAGAAGGGGCUCUAUUCCUUGAUAGAAGGACUUAGAAACAGAGAGAAUACCCCAAAUUGGGAAAGCUCAGUUUUGACUUCCUCGAGGUGGGAGGGACUCCCGUCUUGGACAGUCAUGUGCCCAGCUACAAGUCAGGUGGUGGGUGCUUGCUAUAGUUUGGAUCUGACAUGUCCCCAAAGGCCUAUGUGGUUAAGGUGUCCUUAGUCUGUGCUGCUAUUGGCAGGCGGAACAUUUGGGAGACAGGGCCUAUGGAAGGAAGAGAGAUUGUGGGAGGCAGGGCUCUGAAGGGGAUGUGGGACCCUGCUCCCUUUUGAUCUCUUUUUUGUUUCCCAGCCACCAUGAGUCAAAUAGCUUACUCCAAAUGUGCUCCUUCCUGCCACAGUGACUGUACCACCACAGGCCCCAAACGACAGGGCCAACCACCAUGGACUGAAACCUCUGAAACCAUGAGCCAAAAUAAACCUAUACUCCCUAUAAAUUGGUUAUCAAGGGUCAUAGUCACAGUGAGAGAAGGCUGACUAACCCAGUCCCCCAAUAGAGAAAAGGACGAUGUUACUGGGAGACCAAAGGCUGCCCACAUCUCAGCCCUAAUGUUCCCUCCCAUUCCCAGCCACUCCCUGCCAGAGUCCACACUGCAUGAGAGUCUGUCCACAGAUCAAUCAUAUUAGGCAGUUCCUCAUUCUGGGACCAGCUGAAAUUCAUAGGCCAUAGGGUGCUGUUCAUUCAAUGUGCAGGCAAAUGGCUGGUGGAAAUUCAUCCCUAACACUGACUGAGGUUUUCAGGCAGGAGGUGAAAGGUCAGAGACCUGGAAAAACAAGAAUAAGAUUCAAAAUGAGUGCAGGAGAGGUGGGGAACAGACUAUAUAAAUUUUACAGUCUUAAAAUAUAUUCUGAAAUAAUGUUCCAGAACAGUGGCGCCAUAUGUAUGAAUCCAAGAACAGUAUGGAAGAGUCCACACAAGUACACACUCAGUGGCCUCCACACCUAUAUUUACCCCCAAGGUGUAGGGGAAAAUGCAUCCGUGAUCCAAUGACCACAUAAAAACCCAUGGGAAGAAGAGGAACUCAUCUAUUCCUCACCACGUGAGCCCCAGGGGCAUUGCAUCUGAUGGUGGAAUUCAAAAGCACCUCCUGCAUAUCUACCUGGCAAAGACUCAGACCAAGUACGAAAGUCUAGGUGAUGCAGAUACUGUGAGACCAGCACUCCUCACCCUGCUUGGGGAAAUAUAUGACAGUACCACUUUUCAGGAGCAUCAUUUUGUCUCAGAUAUUAAAGCCAUGUGAAGUAUACAUAGCUUUUAUGCAGUAAUUCUGCCUCUGGGAUGUUCAAAAGGAUAUGAUCAGAGAUGCUGACAGACACGUAUAUACCAAAUGUUCAUUGCAGCAUUACUCACCAUGGACCCCAAAGGAAAGCAACUUAAAUGCCCUCUCUUAAAUGCCUGCAAUGAACACUGGUAGGAAACAGUACAGGAAAGAGGUGUACUACACAACAAAUCUCUUACUGCAUUAAAAGUCACCCAGCAGAAGGAGUCUGGGUGCCCCCAAACAAAGGACCAAAGGGCUCUUCAAGGUUUUGCUCUCCCAUCUGCCUUCUCCCAGUCUCUCCUGCUCAGUGAGCAGCAGGCCUGUCCCCCAGUUCUUUAAGUCUCAAAUGCAGAAUGUGUUCUCCAUUCCUUCUUUCACUUUCCUGAGACAGGCACUCCCUCUGGAAGUCCCGCAGGGGCUAGUUUUCAGCCAUUGCCUCUGGCACAUCAGCCUGUCUUCUCCCAGCCCUCCUCCAAUCCUCGCCUGUACCCCAGCCUUUCCUUCUUUACCCUAUGCCAUCCUGCCUCUCCCCUACUUCCUUUCUCUGCCCUCCUUCUCUCCCCAUCAUACCCACUGUACUCUCUUCCUCCCCUCUACUCCUGGACCCCUUCCAUUCUCCCUUCCUCCUCCUCCAGCUCCUUCACCCUCCCCACCUCUUGCCCCUCCUCUCCCUGCUGCCUCCUAACCCUUCUCCUCUCCUCACUCCUCCCUUCCUUCCUUCCAUCUUUCUAGCCCCCUUGCUAUCUACUCCUUCCUCUCCCUGGCCCCUGCUCUUCCUAGUGUAGUCUGCAGCAGGUUUCCUCUCUCAGGGGUGGCUCUGGGGACUUCCUCCUCUGGGAAUGGUUUGUCUCCAAUCCAGAGCCCACUGUGCACCUUUAACCAUCUCUGCAAUUCAAGUCGAUGCCCUGGAUUCUGGCUGGGAACUCCAGCAGAUUCCCCACCCCUGAGAACAAAGACAGAACCCCUCCUCUGCAACUGAAUUUGGAAUAGUGAGGGACAGAAGGGGCAGCCAGGCAAGAUCUGCCAUUCCUUAGCCCUCCUAGACAUUCCUUGGGCUCCUCAGGAACCAUGAGGAAGCCCCAUGAUGGUUUCCCAAGCCACUCUUUCACUGCCUAAGAUGGAAACACUGGAACCUGGGAACCUGGAACUUACCCUGGAAAAUAGCUCCUCCCAGCCGCCCCUCCAUUCUUCCAGGCUGCUCCCUCCAUACAUCCUCCCUGGAUUCCCAAAAUGUCUGGCUCACUGCUCAGCACUCCAUGGAAACUCAGGUAGCUGAAGGACCCAUCCCGGAGUCAGGACUUUUAUAGGGACAGUCUUGUGCCACUGCUCUAGAGAGAUUAAAGUGUCACCAUUGCAAGACUGAACUCCUUGUGUGAUAUAGUCAAACAAUGGAGUGGCACCUUCACUACCCUGAGUCCCAUCAUGGACUCUUCACAGGGCUUUCUUAUGUAAUUCUGGAUGUCUCUGCAGGAUGAGCAUGGGCUGAUGGCUCUUCCUGUCAAUGGUUCCCUUCUGAAGAUAGCAACUGUGGACUGUCAGUGUCAGUUCACACAAAAGGUCUGCCUGUUUGUCCCCCCAAGGCAGCUUAGAGUCUUGUCCCAUUGGAAUACUUUGAGCCAUGUGUUGCUGUUGGGGGACCCCAGCAGGUCUCUGAAGUCACUCCUCUCUCGCACAUUCCCACUAUGACAUUACUACCCACUCUUCCAACACUGCAAGGAAGAUGCAUAAGAAUGAAAUAUCUGAUCAUCAAUGGAGCACCAAAUUUGUUAUAAGAUUUGUGAGAAACAGAAAUGUAUUAAGAAUUUAUUGAGAUGCAUCUUAUCCCAGAAAUGUGGGAGCAAGAACAGACAAAAGCAGGGCAGAGGCAGGUGUCCUAGGAAAGUCUCUGCUGUCUCUUUCAGGUGGAGUGGAGGAGCCCACUGGUGUCCAGGUGGCUUCAGGUGUCCUCCUGACUGGAAUCUGUAAGAAGGAGGCCAGCAAGUCACACAUCUCCAUCCAUCAGCUGUUUCACAUAAGCAAGACCCUGUGUGGUCUGUCUGAGGACACAGAUACAUGAAUUACCAAGAGAUAAUCACCCAUGGCACAUAGAUUUACCUAAACACCACUGCAUCCCACAAUGUAUAUGGUAAUGA
Molecule: long non-coding RNA, 6068 nt
Filed under: Marmota monax (woodchuck)
Lineage: Eukaryota; Metazoa; Chordata; Mammalia; Rodentia; Sciuridae
Source: RNAcentral